RNAcentral lists this ribosomal RNA (497 nucleotides) under uncultured bacterium. Its description in RNAcentral is "partial 16S ribosomal RNA". It matches the Rfam family "Bacterial small subunit ribosomal RNA", at positions 28 to 507 of the family's 1533-position model. The record is from RNAcentral.
GAUGAACGCUGGCGGCGUGCCUAGUACAUGCAACUCGAGCGAACGGACGAGAAGCUUGCUUCUCUGAUGUUAGCGGCGGACGGGUGAGUAACACGUGGAUAACCUACCUAUAAGACUGGGAUAACUUCGGGAAACCGUAGCUAAUACCGGAUAAUAUUUUGAACCGCAUGGUUCAAAAGUGAAAGACGGUCUUGCUGUCACUUAUAGAUGGAUCCGCGCUGCAUUAGCUAGUUGGUAAGGUAACGGCUUACCAAGGCAACGAUGCAUAGCCGACCUGAGAGGGUGAUCGGCCACACUGGAACUGAGACACGGUCCAGACUCCUACGGGAGGCAGCAGUAGGGAAUCUUCCGCAAAGGGCGAAAGCCUGACGGAGCAACGCCGCGUGAGUGAUGAAGGUCUUCGGAUCGUAAAACUCUGUUAUUAGGGAAGAACAUAUGUGUAAGUAACUGUGCACAUCUUGACGGUACCUAAUCAGAAAGCCACGGCUAACUACGUG